AGAGUUUGAUCCUGGCUCAGAUUGAACGCUGGCGGAAUGCUUUACACAUGCAAGUCGAGCGGCAGCGCGGGGGCAACCCUGGCGGCGAGCGGCGAACGGGUGAGUAAUACAUCGGAACGUGUCCUGGAGUGGGGGAUAGCUCGGCGAAAGCCGGAUUAAUACCGCAUAAGCUCUGAGGAGGAAAGCGGGGGAUUCGCAAGGACCUCGCGCUGUUGGAGCGGCCGAUGUCGGAUUAGCUAGUUGGUGGGGUAAAGGCCCACCAAGGCGACGAUCCGUAGCUGGUCUGAGAGGAUGAUCAGCCACACUGGAACUGAGACACGGUCCAGACUCCUACGGGAGGCAGCAGUGGGGAAUUUUGGACAAUGGGGGCAACCCUGAUCCAGCCAUUCCGCGUGAGUGAAGAAGGCCUUCGGGUUGUAAAGCUCUUUCGGACGGAACGAAAUGGUUACGGCUAACACCUGUGACUGAUGACGGUACCGUAAGAAGAAGCACCGGCUAACUACGUGCCAGCAGCCGCGGUAAUACGUAGGGUGCGAGCGUUAAUCGGAAUUACUGGGCGUAAAGCGUGCGCAGGCGGCGGCUCAAGUCAGGUGUGAAAUCCCCGGGCUUAACCUGGGAAUUGCGCUUGAAACUAGGUUGCUANAGUGUGGCAGAGGGGGGUGGAU
RNAcentral lists this ribosomal RNA (665 nucleotides) under uncultured bacterium. RNAcentral describes it as "bacterial SSU rRNA". It matches the Rfam family "Bacterial small subunit ribosomal RNA", at positions 8 to 666 of the family's 1533-position model. The record is from RNAcentral.